CAUGUACUCCUCUGUCCCAAAAUUCUUGUAUUAGAUUUGUCUAGACACGGAUGUACCUAAUACUAAAACAUGACUUGAUACAUCCGUAUCUAGACAAAUCUAAGACAAGAAUUUUAGGACGGAGGGAGUAGUAC
Molecule: non-coding RNA, 134 nt
Organism: Triticum urartu
Lineage: Eukaryota; Viridiplantae; Streptophyta; Magnoliopsida; Poales; Poaceae
Source: Rfam